Molecule: ribosomal RNA, 223 nt
Filed under: Shigella flexneri
Lineage: Bacteria; Pseudomonadati; Pseudomonadota; Gammaproteobacteria; Enterobacterales; Enterobacteriaceae
Description: partial 23S ribosomal RNA
Rfam family: Bacterial large subunit ribosomal RNA
Source: RNAcentral
GAUAUGAACCGUUAUAACCGGCGAUUUCCGAAUGGGGAAACCCAGUGUGAUUCGUCACACUAUCAUUAACUGAAUCCAUAGGUUAAUGAGGCGAACCGGGGGAACUGAAACAUCUAAGUACCCCGAGGAAAAGAAAUCAACCGAGAUUCCCCCAGUAGCGGCGAGCGAACGGGGAGCAGCCCAGAGCCUGAAUCAGUGUGUGUGUUAGUGGAAGCGUCUGGAA